Molecule: unclassified non-coding RNA, 340 nt
Filed under: soil metagenome
Description: partial contains 5.8S ribosomal RNA, internal transcribed spacer 2, and large subunit ribosomal RNA
Rfam family: 5.8S ribosomal RNA (bases 1-121)
Source: RNAcentral
GAUGAAGAACGCAGCGAAAUGCGAUAAGUAAUGCGAAUUGCAGAAUUCCAGUGAAUCAUCGAAUCUUUGAACGCACAUUGCACCUCUCGGUAUUCCGGGAGGUAUGCCUGUUCGAGCGUCAUUUGUACCCUCAAGCUCUGCUUGGUGUUGGGUGUUUGUUCCGCCUCUGUGUGUGAACUCGCCUCAAAACAAUUGGCAGACGGCGUACUUGUUUCGGAGCGCAGCACAUUUUGCGAUCCAGAUCAACGUACAGCGGCAUCCAAGAAGCCUUAUUUAACGCUCUUGACCUCGGAUCAGGUAGGGAUACCCGCUGAACUUAAGCAUAUCAAUAAGCGGAGGA